Molecule: ribosomal RNA, 253 nt
Filed under: uncultured bacterium
Lineage: Bacteria
Description: partial 16S ribosomal RNA
Rfam family: Bacterial small subunit ribosomal RNA
Source: RNAcentral
UACAGAGGGGGCAAGCGUUAUUCGGAAUUAUUGGGCGUAAAGGGCGCGUAGGCGGCUUUGCAAGUGGCGGGUGAAAUCCCUCGGCUUAACCGAGGAACUGCCUGUCAAACUGCAUGGCUUGAGACCAGGAGAGGUGAGUGGAAUUCCCAGUGUAGCGGUGAAAUGCGUAGAUAUUGGGAGGAACACCAGUGGCGAAGGCGGCUCACUGGACUGGUACUGACGCUGAGGCGCGAAAGCGUGGGUAGCAAACGGG